RNAcentral lists this unclassified non-coding RNA (271 nucleotides) under Coenogonium luteum. Its description in RNAcentral is "partial contains 5.8S ribosomal RNA, internal transcribed spacer 2, and large subunit ribosomal RNA". Lineage: Eukaryota; Fungi; Ascomycota; Lecanoromycetes; Ostropales; Coenogoniaceae. The record is from RNAcentral.
CGCAUAUUGCGCCCUCUGGCAUUCUGGGGGGCACGCCUGUUCGAGCGUCAUUGAAUCAAUUAAGCCCAGCUUAGUAUUGGGCGGCCUUUUAACGGAAAGCCCCCAAAAUUUAGUGGCGUGAAUGCUGAGAGAAGAAUGUACCGGAAUUUUUAAUUAAAUUAUCAUUCUAGUCUCUUGGGUGUUUACCGCCAAUAACCAACUGCCCGGUUGCCCAUACCGGGAUAAUAGCAAGAUUGACCUCGGAUCAGGUGGGAAUACCCGCUGAACUUAA